CUGGCUAAACAUUCAAAUAUGUUUUUCAAACAUUUCGUUUGAAGCUAAUGUUUGUAUGUUUAGCCA
RNAcentral lists this microRNA precursor (66 nucleotides) under Nematostella vectensis (starlet sea anemone). RNAcentral describes it as "mir-9436 microRNA precursor family". It matches the Rfam family "mir-9436 microRNA precursor family". The record is from Rfam by way of RNAcentral. Lineage: Eukaryota; Metazoa; Cnidaria; Anthozoa; Actiniaria; Edwardsiidae.